CAGUCGCCGCGGGAAUACGAAGGGGGCGAGCGUUGCUCGGAAUGACUGGGCGUAAAGGGCGCGUAGGUGGUACGGACAGUCAGAUGUGAAAUUCCCGGGCUCAACCUGGGGGCUGCAUUUGAUACGUCCGAACUAGAGUGUGGAAGAGGGUCGUGGAAUUCCCAGUGUAGAGGUGAAAUUCGUAGAUAUUGGGAAGAACACCGGUGGCGAAGGCGGCGACCUGGUCCAUUACUGACGCUGAGGCGCGAAAGCGUGGGGAGCAAACAGGAUUAGAUACCCGCGUAGUCCCUGUCUCUUAUAC
Molecule: ribosomal RNA, 301 nt
Filed under: uncultured bacterium
Lineage: Bacteria
Description: partial 16S ribosomal RNA
Rfam family: Bacterial small subunit ribosomal RNA
Source: RNAcentral